This 1512-nucleotide ribosomal RNA is filed under the name Triticum aestivum (bread wheat). RNAcentral describes it as "partial small subunit ribosomal RNA". Lineage: Eukaryota; Viridiplantae; Streptophyta; Magnoliopsida; Poales; Poaceae. The record is from RNAcentral.
GUACUUUUAUCGAUCGGACACUUCGUCCCUCGGUCGCUGACCAGGUAGCAACUCGUCCUACAAACGGGUCGAGUGAGUAAAUUAGGCUUUCCAGCCACCAAAUUACCGAGCGAGACUAAUCGGAAUCGAUCUUCGUAGUCCUACAUGAUGAUGAACCUGUAGGAAUGGUAUGUCUUAAUAUCGAUCGUUCGGUUUGUCCUUCUGCGCAGUCGAGGAAAAGAAGGUAAAAAGAAAGGGGUAGACACAUAUAUAUAUAUACCGGGGAGAGAAGCGGGGUGCCAAGUCAUUGGUUUCUUGUGAAGCGGAGCGGGAGGUGGUGCGAAGUAGCCAACACCAAGUUUCCGUUUUCAGCACACUCUAGUACCCGCGGAACCUAGUGGAGAGACUAAACACAUCGUACUGCCUCUGUUUCCUUCGGGAGUUCGAGUCCUUCUUCGCGGGUGACGUCUGCCACUUGUAGUUCCACUUCUACCUGACGCUCCCGACGCUCUCCUCCCAGUUCUUGCGGCAGUUUAGCUAAGCCCCAUCAGUAUAGAUGCAGUUUAUUAUGAUAGAUGAGGCCCUCUAUUUUGAAACCACAUUUAAACUAACUCGCUUGCAACUUGCUAGAGUAGAGACACCCACCCACCGUGUCCACACUGCUCGCACCGGCACUUGGGGUUCUACUCGUUCCAUUGCCAUUGCCCCGUGCACCUCGGCGCGUUCCACGACCUCGCCCACUUCUCGUGCCCCUUCCGCCGUCUCUACACCGGCAUGCACGGGAUGUGGGAGCGGUGGAUGGGGAUGCAGCCGCCGCGGAUGCUGUUCUUCCGUGGCCGCCCGAAGCAGGCGUCGCGUGGCGUCCGGUACCGGCUGGGGCGGCGCGGACUCUAGGUGAUGUACUUGUACAAGUUGCUGCUCCUGCAGUUGCGGACGUGGCAGUACACUAGAUUAGUAGCAUUAGUGGUCGAGGAAGGUGAGAUCGGCUGCGGGUCGGCGGGUCGCCCUUCUGUACGAACUAUACAGAAGUACGUAGUGUUUCUGACAUAAACAUAUAUCAUAUACAAAAAAGCGAACCCUUUUCCCCUAUGGUUCUUCUACUCGAACGCACGCUUAUCGAUAUUAUAUGAUGAGGGAGACAUUCGAUUAUAUUCUCAUAAAUCUAAUGAUGAAAUUACUAGAUUUUCGAGAAUAUAAUCAAAUGCCUUUUUCAUGAUGUUUCUUUCUCGAUUUCAAAUUAUUCGCAUGUAUUGAUGAGGGAGGCAAAGUUUUAUCUAUUAGGUUGAAAUAUGAUUUGCUUCCUUUAUUCACACUUCGUGUAGAACAACGCGGCAAAAAGCUAAUACUCUAACUACGUUAGUGGGUAAAAGUAUGAAGAAAGAUAUGUUAACGUAUAGUCGCUAAAGUUCUCUGCGAACACUAAGAAGUUGUCGUAGUUAGAUUACCUCCGGGACUGUUCAUCUAGAUAGGUACUUUCUGUUGGUUGAGAAUAUAAAUUAGAAAUCGGGACUAUAAAGGAUCUUGACUAUAACC